Molecule: unclassified non-coding RNA, 1595 nt
Filed under: Monomorium pharaonis (pharaoh ant)
Lineage: Eukaryota; Metazoa; Arthropoda; Insecta; Hymenoptera; Formicidae
Description: uncharacterized LOC105837808, transcript variant X3
Source: RNAcentral
CCUUUCUCUCUCGCACAGAUCUUGGACACACUUACGGUCUACGGUCUACAUGAAACCAUAGCAAUUCCUCCUCCAUGUAUAUAUACUCAAAGAAUAUUAUACAUCAAAGUGACAUCAAAGAAAAACAAAAUUAUUAAAAUAUAAAAUAAAUUUUCUCAAAAAUCCUACUAUUCACAAGUUAUGGUUGGAUAUUUUGGGACUAAAUUCAUCAUCUAUCCCAACUACAGCUCGUAUUUGUUCUAUUCAUUUUGAAAAAGAAUCUUUUAAUAGAACAUGUUUAAUAACUCUACUUAGGCCAAAUGCAUUGCCCAGUAGAACACUUACAAUGCAGAUCAUCUUCGGAAUCUACUGUUGAACAAUUUAUUAAUGAAAAUGUUGAAACGGUAUCACAAGAAAUAAAUUAUUCGCCAAUAGUUCCGACAAAAUCAACAGAUGUAAUCAAUGGAUCCUUAUCACCUAUAACAAAAUUUGUUUACCACAAUCGGUAUCUAAAGUGGAUAAAAUAACAAUGGUAUCAUCUACACGCAUCUAUAAUUCUCCAGAAAAAUCUAGAUUACGGAAAAGAAUUAAAUUCUUGGAAGUACAACAUACAAAAAAAAUGCUAUUUGCGCAACAAAAAAUACGACGGUAUAAGAAUCAAGUGAUCACACUCAAAGAAAUUUUAAACAAAUUAAAGAAUAAUAAUUAUUGAAUGAAACACAAGUUGACAUUAUACAUAUAUAUGUUAGGUAAACCAAUAAGUGAGAUUUUUAAGCAAUUAAUUAGGCGAAAGAAAAAUGCAUGCGUACCCAAACAAUAUCCGAAAAUAUGUUCAUUUGCACUAACGCUGUAUUAUUACUCUGCAUUUAUUGAAGAAGCAGUUAUAAUUUUCUUCUUGUGACACAUGCUUGAACAAUUAUAUUUAUUUUCAAUUUAUCUUAUGUAUAUUUAUGAUUAAAUGAAAUAGUACAGCGCAUAAAAUGCAAAGUGUUGUGUUGUGUAUAAUACUAAAGUUUAAUUAGACCUAAGUAAUUCGUCAUUUCAAUGUUACUGAUAUAGCUUGUUUAGAAUAUUGUAUUUUGCAAGGUGUAAAAUCAGCAAAAUGUAAAAUAAUAUCAGGAAAGUGAUGAAAGGAAUGCAGUUACAAAACAUGAAAUAUGUGUCACCAGGCAUAAACUGCUAUUGCUGAAUUUGAACUGUAUGACAGAACAUGGUGGUGUGUUAUCUACUGCACUAAGCGAAAAAUGUUACUAAGGGUGACAUGAUUUAUGGCUCUGUGUUAUUCAGAAGAGUAGUCAAAUGUCAUCAGGAAUCUUCUGACAAAUUCUGAUUCUUAAAGAGUUUAGUUAAGAAAUACAGAAUUUAUUUCAACAAGACUUCAAUCUUAUUGUAUUUAUAUGUGGAUUGUGUACAAUAUAAGAGAAUCGUGAACAAAUGAACAAUUGAAUGAUCAAUAAAAUAUCUAUUAUACUUGGCAGCAUGAUUUAAUUAAAUCUAAUUAAUUAAUCGAAUAUAUUAGGAUAAAUCAGAAAGGCAAAUGAGCCGCUACUAAAUGAUAUUGUAGAUAAUGUAUUAUCGUAAUAUUAUUUACAUAAAUAUAAACGUUUCAACUUGUC